Molecule: long non-coding RNA, 257 nt
Filed under: Vigna radiata
Lineage: Eukaryota; Viridiplantae; Streptophyta; Magnoliopsida; Fabales; Fabaceae
Description: long non-coding RNA (VRAD_LNC012819)
Source: RNAcentral
GACAAAACUGUAGGACCGAGUCAAUCUCAUGGUCCAGAAUGCAUCUCCUAGUAACCUGGUCACUGCACAACUUCCAUAAAUAUGGGUCAUCCCAAACAUAAUACUUAGCAUCACUCUUAAUUUUAGCAAUUGGAGCACGUGAUGCUGAUGGGGGUCGCACCCCAUGCAAAAUUUAAUGUGCAUAAAAGAAUGCAGUAUAGCUAGGAAGUGACUCCUAGGUCGUCUCUCAAGGACCAAACCAUGGUUCAGGAAUUAGG